AUCUCAAUUAGAUCAGGCCCAUCGGAACCACUAAGUAUAAACACAAUUAAGCUGCAGUCCUUGUUACUGUACUCUUUUUACAUUUUAGUCCCCAUAUUGAGGGGUAUAAAUAGUAGCAACUACCUGUAACAAACUAUGAUAAGUUUUGAAUAAAAUUCCCCAUUCUCCCCAACUCUCUCUCUCUCUCUCUCUCUCUCUCUAGCUCGUCUUCCUCUUCUCUAUCUCUCCUUCUUCUUCCUCACUCCAAUUCUAUCUCAUCCCAAGCACAGAUCCAUUCUCCAUCGAAGCUCUCGAUCUCGCACAGCUGAUACCCGAUCAGUAUUCGAUUGAAUACUGUUUAUCAUCAUCUCCAAUCCACGAUCCUCGGUUUCAUCCUCAUCAGAUCGAGGCAUCGGAUCAGGUAAGCCGAUUCUUCACCCCA
Molecule: long non-coding RNA, 421 nt
Filed under: Ananas comosus (pineapple)
Lineage: Eukaryota; Viridiplantae; Streptophyta; Magnoliopsida; Poales; Bromeliaceae
Description: long non-coding RNA (ACOM_LNC004629)
Source: RNAcentral